AAUGAUUAUUGGCAUCACAUCAACACAUCAACCUCGUUGGCACUGAAUUUCUGUUUCCGCUGUCUUGACUUUGGCUGAUGCACGAUAGAAAGACAGAAGAGGUCCAUUCACUUGCAUGUUUAAAUGCUCACAAUGUGCUUCAUAGUAGGCGUGUAGGAAAGGUUGCUGGUUAGCUGAUGAGCUGCAGGCCCUCAGUACCACGGCCAAUGUUUCAGCCGUCCAAUGAACUGACGAGUCUGAAUCCCCUGACAAGUAUUCGUGUAAUCUGGCAGUUUUUGAGGUCUCCAACUCAAGAGUCCAUCGUCGCAGCAGGGGGGGGGGGGGGGGGCGCUCGAGGGUCGAGUGGCGUGAGCACUGGUGAUAAGCAGGGUAUCAAAUGAACGACACGAUGUCACGAUAUUAAAGAGUUACCCGUCAGAAAUAUUCUUUGUAAAAGAGCUCAAGAUUAAAAGAACGGGCUUCGUAAAAUAAGAGCGGUAUUCAGGAAACAUUCUAGGUGUUUUUAGCUGAAAACCAAGUCUGGAGAAGAUUUUAUGCAUCCAUCGUCUGCAUCCCAGCGGCACUGCAGUUAAAUCUGCUCUUAUAGUUCUGCAUCACGACUCGUAGCAGUCCUGUCACCUUAAGGAUAUAUUCCCUGUACCGUCGGGUCGGUCUCGUUUCCCCCCUCGAUAGCACCCACGAUGGAUACGUUGCACAUUACCCGUUUAAAGCGCUACCACCGGUUACGGUGUCAACGUGCUUUCAUGCACUCUGCACUGUGACGAUGGAGACGUUUGCCUGCUAAUGUAACGCACCCCGAGAGGCAGCACAGACACGCAAGUGCUGCACGACAGCGGCGACCAGGUUUGCGGGAGCAGGCGAGUGCUCGUUUGAUGGACAGCAGGACGUCAAACCCGGGGGAUCAGUCAGGGAAGGAAAGCAAGUCGGACAGGGGAGCAGCCUGUGAUCGCCAAUCCAGAAAAACAGGCAACGGGCCAGAAAACAGGGGCGGUUCUAAUUGGCUGGGAAAAACGACAUGAAACAUAUUGUGCUCACGAAGAAGAACAAAUCCAAUCCGACAGGUUUACAUGUGUGGUGUUGACAGAGGGAAACACCGGAGGAUAAUGAGUACAGGUGAGAAGAAGAAAACACCACGAGGUGUUACAAGGAACCACUGGUGACAAAACGAUCACAAGGUUCACAUGGAUACAGACUUCAACGUGAGCAACUUUUAACUGAUUACCAAAGAGUCACUUAUGAAUGUCUAUUUCUAUGUUCUUUAUUGCUUCUGGACCCGACGCGUCCUCCUCUCUGACACGGCGCCGCUGG
Molecule: long non-coding RNA, 1308 nt
Organism: Gasterosteus aculeatus aculeatus (three-spined stickleback)
Lineage: Eukaryota; Metazoa; Chordata; Actinopteri; Perciformes; Gasterosteidae
Source: Ensembl